GGAGGCCUGGAAGCAAGGCCGAGAACCCGGCUGUGUUGUGCCUGCCCAGUGGGGCUCCCAUACACCCCUGAGGAGAAGAAAGUGGAGGGACUUUAGGCUGGAGAGAUCUGAUCCUAGUUCAGAAAAGCAGAGACCCCCUCAGAUUUAGACCCCCUAAGAGUUCGCAAAACAAACAAACAAAAAGCAUACAUUUGCUGGGAACAUCAGCAGCAGGGUCAGAAUCUGAGCCGAGCUAAGGGUGCAGGCCCUGCCCAGCCAGGAACGCAGGCCCGCGGCUCCAGCUCCGAUUCUUGGGCUCUUCUCCGCGGCACACCAGACUAGAGGUGCCUACUGACGACCAGCACCCGGCGGGCGCUUUCCAGUGGGGACAGUUCCCAGGAACCCUAGAGGGAGGGAGGGAGGGAAGACCGCCAGCGCUGGUGGCGAGCGGUUCGGUGGAGCCGGGACGGGGUGCAACGGGGCGUAAGCCCAGGUGACCCGCUCCCCGUCCUGCCUACUGCAGAGAAGGAGCGCGGCGGGGAACCCAAGGGGCCCGAGGACAGUGGUGCGGGAGGCACGGGCUGCGGCGGCGCAGACGACCCAGCCAAGAAGAAGAAGCAGCGGCGGCAACGUACGCACUUCACAAGCCAGCAGUUGCAAGAGCUAGAGGCCACGUUCCAGAGGAACCGCUACCCCGACAUGAGCAUGAGGGAGGAGAUCGCCGUGUGGACCAACCUCACCGAGCCGCGCGUGCGGGUCUGGUUCAAGAACCGGCGAGCCAAGUGGCGUAA
Molecule: long non-coding RNA, 770 nt
Filed under: Homo sapiens (human)
Lineage: Eukaryota; Metazoa; Chordata; Mammalia; Primates; Hominidae
Description: non-protein coding lnc-H2AFY-5:1
Source: RNAcentral